UACGUAGGGUGCGAGCGUUGUCCGGAAUUAUUGGGCGUAAAGAGCUCGUAGGCGGUUUGUCACGUCUGCUGUGAAAUCCCGAGGCUCAACCUCGGGCCUGCAGUGGGUACGGGCUGACUGGAGUGCGGUAGGGGAGAAUGGAAUUCCUGGUGUAGCGGUGGAAUGCGCAGAUAUCAGGAGGAACACCGAUGGCGAAGGCAGUUCUCUGGGCCGUAACUGACGCUGAGGAGCGAAAGCGUGGGGAGCGAACAGG
Molecule: ribosomal RNA, 253 nt
Filed under: uncultured bacterium
Lineage: Bacteria
Description: partial 16S ribosomal RNA
Rfam family: Bacterial small subunit ribosomal RNA
Source: RNAcentral